UGUCACUCAGGCCUGAGGAGCUGUCCAAUCAGCGGCUCCGCAAGACUUGAGGACGUCACUAGCCGCCGCGCGUCGGUCGCUGCAGGGUCUCCUCGGACCCUUAGGGCCGCAGGGGCCGCUGGGCUCUGUCGCCUGCUCGGUUUCGGGCUCUGUCGCCUGCGCGGGCCGCGGGGCCGUCGGGGGGGACGCCCCGGGGGCCUCCGGAAGCGGAAAUGGUGCCUUCCCGCGUUCCCAAACGCCAGCUUCUCCAGCACUUAUGUAAAGUCCUCAGAUCUGUUCUUAUCUUUUUGGUUGAUAACAAAUGGAAUUCAAGGGAUUCACCUUGAGAAGCGUGCCUGGGAAAAGAAUCUCAGAGAAGGAAAAACUCUGUUCCGUUAUGCGUGCGGGCAGAAAAAUGAACACAAUUCACCCCCAAAAAAUUUUUUUGGUAGAUAAAUUAGUGAAGUACAAAUGUUCACCAAAACAUCAAUUCCUCUCCUUUGCAGGAUGGAGAAUUUCUAUCGGUGGAUAAUUCUGUUCUAUUUCUGUUAUCCAAACUUUGUAAAUUGUUACAUUCUAUGAGAUUACUAGACUUGCAACACCUUGAAGUUUUGACUGUACUUAGUUGCCUAAGAAACUCUUUAUUGCCAUGAAAUAAUAAACCUGUCAUCCUUGUUUUCAAAAAGAAUAGUUAUUUGUGGGUUUUCUUGUUGCGCUAAAUAAAAAGGGGGGGGUGGCUUACAGUUUUCUUCACUCUCUUUAUACAAAACAGUGGGUGAGUGAUUUUGCUGGAUUCUUCAGACACAGAAUUUGUCUCAUUUAGAAUAUUAAUGACAGUCCAA
This 821-nucleotide long non-coding RNA is filed under the name Dasypus novemcinctus (nine-banded armadillo). Its description in RNAcentral is "lncRNA (ENSDNOG00000050078.1)". The record is from RNAcentral. Lineage: Eukaryota; Metazoa; Chordata; Mammalia; Cingulata; Dasypodidae.